AAACUAGUAUUUUUGUGCUCUAGUGCUUCUGUUCUAUUGUAACUUUGCAUCUUCUUGAUGCCUUUUAUUAAUGAAACACUUACUUCAUCAAAAAAAAUAUUUGGGUGAUGAGAAAUGGUGUUAGUACAUAUAUUUGGAAUGGUAGAAUCACCUAGAAGUAGUAGAAUGAGAAUUGGAUGACGAAAAUACCAUUAACAAGGCUAUGAGGCUUUACGCCCAUAAGGUGUGUGAUAAAAUGCCUAAGCGAUCAAAACAUAAGUAUUAUUGCUAAUAUGGAAUCCCUCUGACUUGUAUUGCUAUAGUUUAAAGUUGAAGGAUCGGCGAACGUUGUAUUAGCCUCAAGGGCAGGAAGUUAAAGUAUAUGAAGCUAACUCUCUACGUUUGGGAUGUCAAUGAUUCUCCCUACACUCUGUUUUUUUUUACAAUGUUACUAAUUGCCUCAGAAAUAUGCUUAAGCUUAGUUCCUUGAAUAGUUGCAGAACUUCUAUUCUCUAGCUUCGUAAUUUGUUCAUGACUUUUAGUCUGAAUGUUGUGAGCUCAGUGGAUGAUCAAUAUAGAGUUGUGUUUAAUGCCCAUGAGCCUCAGUGUAGAGUAC
Molecule: long non-coding RNA, 595 nt
Filed under: Nicotiana benthamiana
Lineage: Eukaryota; Viridiplantae; Streptophyta; Magnoliopsida; Solanales; Solanaceae
Description: long non-coding RNA (NBEN_LNC002414)
Source: RNAcentral